This 515-nucleotide ribosomal RNA is filed under the name uncultured bacterium. RNAcentral's name for it is "partial 16S ribosomal RNA". It matches the Rfam family "Bacterial small subunit ribosomal RNA", at positions 28 to 523 of the family's 1533-position model. The record is from RNAcentral.
GAUGAACGCUGGCGGCGUGCCUAAUACAUGCAAGUCGAGCGAAUGGAUUGAGAGCUUGCUCUCAAGAAGUUAGCGGCGGACGGGUGAGUAACACGUGGGUAACCUGCCCAUAAGACUGGGAUAACUCCGGGAAACCGGGGCUAAUACCGGAUAACAUUUUGAACUGCAUGGUUCGAAAUUGAAAGGCGGCUUCGGCUGUCACUUAUGGAUGGACCCGCGUCGCAUUAGCUAGUUGGUGAGGUAACGGCUCACCAAGGCAACGAUGCGUAGCCGACCUGAGAGGGAGAUCGGCCACACUGGGACUGAGACACGGCCCAGACUCCUACGGGAGGCGGCAGUAGGGAAUCUUCCGCAAUGGACGAAAGUCUGACGGAGCAACGCCGCGUGAGUGAUGAAGGCUUUCGGGUCGUAAAACUCUGUUGUUAGGGAAGAACAAGUGCUAGUUGAAUAAGCUGGCACCUUGACGGUACCUAACCAGAAAGCCACGGCUAACUACGUGCCAGCCGCCGCGGUAA